RNAcentral lists this ribosomal RNA (1382 nucleotides) under Enterococcus durans. Its description in RNAcentral is "bacterial SSU rRNA". It matches the Rfam family "Bacterial small subunit ribosomal RNA", at positions 74 to 1436 of the family's 1533-position model. Lineage: Bacteria; Bacillati; Bacillota; Bacilli; Lactobacillales; Enterococcaceae. The record is from RNAcentral.
CGGAGCUUGCUCCACCGGAAAAAGAAGAGUGGCGAACGGGUGAGUAACACGUGGGUAACCUGCCCAUCAGAAGGGGAUAACACUUGGAAACAGGUGCUAAUACCGUAUAACAAUCGAAACCGCAUGGUUUUGAUUUGAAAGGCGCUUUCGGGUGUCGCUGAUGGAUGGACCCGCGGUGCAUUAGCUAGUUGGUGAGGUAACGGCUCACCAAGGCCACGAUGCAUAGCCGACCUGAGAGGGUGAUCGGCCACAUUGGGACUGAGACACGGCCCAAACUCAUACGGGAGGCAGCAGUAGGGAAUCUUCGGCAAUGGACGAAAGUCUGACCGAGCAACGCCGCGUGAGUGAAGAAGGUUUUCGGAUCGUAAAACUCUGUUGUUAGAGAAGAACAAGGAUGAGAGUAACUGUUCAUCCCUUGACGGUAUCUAACCAGAAAGCCACGGCUAACUACGUGCCAGCAGCCGCGGUAAUACGUAGGUGGCAAGCGUUGUCCGGAUUUAUUGGGCGUAAAGCGAGCGCAGGCGGUUUCUUAAGUCUGAUGUGAAAGCCCCCGGCUCAACCGGGGAGGGUCAUUGGAAACUGGGAGACUUGAGUGCAGAAGAGGAGAGUGGAAUUCCAUGUGUAGCGGUGAAAUGCGUAGAUAUAUGGAGGAACACCAGUGGCGAAGGCGGCUCUCUGGUCUGUAACUGACGCUGAGGCUCGAAAGCGUGGGGAGCAAACAGGAUUAGAUACCCUGGUAGUCCACGCCGUAAACGAUGAGUGCUAAGUGUUGGAGGGUUUCCGCCCUUCAGUGCUGCAGCUAACGCAUUAAGCACUCCGCCUGGGGAGUACGACCGCAAGGUUGAAACUCAAAGGAAUUGACGGGGGCCCGCACAAGCGGUGGAGCAUGUGGUUUAAUUCGAAGCAACGCGAAGAACCUUACCAGGUCUUGACAUCCUUUGACCACUCUAGAGAUAGAGCUUCCCCUUCGGGGGCAAAGUGACAGGUGGUGCAUGGUUGUCGUCAGCUCGUGUCGUGAGAUGUUGGGUUAAGUCCCGCAACGAGCGCAACCCUUAUUGUUAGUUGCCAUCAUUUAGUUGGGCACUCUAGCAAGACUGCCGGUGACAAACCGGAGGAAGGUGGGGAUGACGUCAAAUCAUCAUGCCCCUUAUGACCUGGGCUACACACGUGCUACAAUGGGAAGUACAACGAGUCGCGAAGUCGCGAGGCUAAGCUAAUCUCUUAAAGCUUCUCUCAGUUCGGAUUGUAGGCUGCAACUCGCCUACAUGAAGCCGGAAUCGCUAGUAAUCGCGGAUCAGCACGCCGCGGUGAAUACGUUCCCGGGCCUUGUACACACCGCCCGUCACACCACGAGAGUUUGUAACACCCGAAGUCGGUGAGGU